Sesamum indicum (sesame) is the source of this 2728-nucleotide RNA transcript. It is a transcript of the gene named RNA-binding (RRM/RBD/RNP motifs) family protein, with no coding region annotated. NCBI's taxonomy places the organism in Eukaryota, Viridiplantae, Streptophyta, Magnoliopsida, Lamiales, Pedaliaceae. The record is from RefSeq and is a predicted model, not a curated record.
GAUUAGAUUCACAGAAAAAAGAGUAAAAAUCUGAAAACCGGAAAAAACAAGCUAAGAAAAGCUAGGGCAAAUAAAGUAACAAAGAGCUGCUGGAUAGAGAAGACCGGGGAGGAAUUCAGCUCUCGCCUGUCCUGACUUUUGACUUCAGCUACGGGGACGCCGCCUCCGAUCGUCAUACAUUCGUCCACAAUCAGGCGGACAAUCAUACAUUUCUUCAGCUUGCUUGAAUGGAUCCGGUGACUGGUGAGCAAUUAGAUUAUGGAGAUGAGGAAUAUGCAGGAAGUCAAAAGAUGCAAUAUCAUCAAGGUGGAGCUAUUCCCGCACUUGCGGAGGAGGAAAUGAUUGGUGAAGAGGAUGAAUAUGAUGACCUCUAUAAUGAUGUUAAUGUUGGAGAGGGUUUCCUGCAGAUGCAGCGGUCUGAAGCACAAAUGCCUUCAGGUGUGGGGAAUGGUGGAUUCCAAGGUUCGAAAAGUAAUGUUCCUGGCAUUAGAGCAGAAGCAAUAGCCCCACAAGAGGUCACCAAUGCGAGAGUUACUAGUGAAGGGAAUUAUCUUCCUACUGGAGUCCAAUUUCCUGAGCAGAAGACUGCUUUCCCAGCUGCAGGAGGUCCUGCACAAACUGUGGAUGCUUCUCAAAGGGGAAGGCUCCCUGAAAUGGUACAUAAUUCUCAGCCAGGGCAUUUGGGAUAUCAAGGAUCAGUGUCCAUGCCCCAAAAGACUGCUGCAGACCGGAUGAACAAGCCAGAAAAAAUUGUUGGUGAGCCUGCACCAUCACCUAACCCUAACAUGGGCAGCUCAAAAGGUGGUCCCCAGAUUCCUACCACUAUGAUGAAUUCAAGUGCAAAUGUCAAUAUAAAUCGUCCAGUAGAUGAUGAAUACCUGAUAAGGCCAGCUGUAGAAAAUGGAAAUACUAUGCUCUUUGUAGGAGAGUUGCAUUGGUGGACAACCGAUGCUGAGCUUGAGAGUGUGCUCAUUCAAUAUGGGAAAGUUAAGGAGAUCAAAUUUUUUGAUGAAAGGGCUAGUGGUAAAUCCAAAGGCUAUUGCCAAGUUGAAUUUUAUGAUCCCGCUGCUGCAGCUGCAUGCAAGGAAGGUAUGCAUGGUCAUCUAUUUAAUGGGCGAGCUUGUGUGGUGGCAUUUGCCACUCCACAAACCAUAAAACAGAUGGGUUCUUCUUACAUGAACAAGACCCAAACCCAGGGUCAAUCCCAGCAGCAGGGGAGGAACCUCAUUAAUGAUGGAGCAGGAAGAGGCAAUGGGACGAAUUAUCCUAGUGGAGAUACAGGAAGGAAUUUUGGACGAGGUGGGUGGGGAAGAGGAGGGAACCAAGUUCCUAACAAGGGUCCAGGUCCUGGACCUGUAAGAGGUAGAGGAGGAAUGGGGAACAAGAAUAUGAUUGGAAAUGCACCUGGUGCUGGUGGAGGAGCCUAUGGACAAGCUGGCCUUGCUGGCCCUGGUUUUGGCGGACCUCCUGGGAUGAUGCAUCCUCAGGGCAUGAUGGGUCCUGGUUUUGACCUAGCAUUUAUGGGUCGAGGGGGUGGUUAUGCUGGUUUCUCUGGUCCUGCUUUCCCAGGGAUGCUUCCUCCAUAUCCAGCUGUUAAUUCAAUGGGCCUUCCUGGAGUGGCUCCUCAUGUCAACCCUGCUUUCUUUAGUCGAGGAAUGGCUCCAAAUGGAAUGGGUAUGAUGGGGACGACAGGGAUGGAUGGUCCUCAUUCUGGUAUGUGGCCUGACAUGAACCUGGGUGGAUGGGGAGGGGAAGAACAUGGCAGGGGAACCAGAGAGUCUAGUUAUGGUGGUGAAGAUAAUGCUUCUGAAUACGGCUAUGGAGAGGCAAGUCAUGAAAAAGGCGUAAGGUCCAGUGCUGCUUCUCGGGAAAAGGAGAGGAACUCUGAGCGUGAUUGGUCCAGUAACCCUGAGAAGAGGCAUCGGGAAGAGAGAGAUCAUGAUGGGGACAGGUAUGAUAGGGACCACAAAUACAGGGAAGAGAAGGAUCGCCACCGGGACUAUCGCCAUAAAGAUCGUGACUUGGGUUAUGAUGAUGAUUGGGAUAGAGGACAAUCUUCAAGAUCCCGUAGCAGAUCACGUGCAGUGCCUGGAGAUGAUCACAGGUCUCGAUCUAGGGAUGCUGAUUAUGGGAAAAGGAAACGCAUGCCAUCUGAGUGAUGUGAUCAGAACGAGUCUUGUACGGAUCCAAAAGUCCCCUUCACUGAUUUGCAUUAUCGAUCUUAAUCAUCUGAAGGAUCGCCAACUCUGUCUUGUAUAUGUUGGCUCACAUGCUAUGUGGCCUCUGACUUCGAAGAAGAGCAGAGAACCAUUAAUUGGUGCUUUCUUGGAUAUCCUGAAAUGCAUAAAACAAUGUAGCGAGCAAAGAAGCCUUAGUCAUAUUUUCAAUUGCUUUGUGUUCCUCAUGCAUGUACCAGUCUUUGAACGAUGCUCCUGGAAGGAAUUAUAUGAAAAGUAACCUUAAUUCUCAAAGAAUACUUUUGAGUGGAAUAUCCACUACACAGUAGUAUAUAUUAGCUGUUUGUUGUAUUUUCCAUGUAAUAGGUUCCUCACUUGUAACAAUUUCACAUGUUAAUGUUAUCUCUGAUCUUGUAAUUAUUGUACAAGUCUUCCGACCAAGUGUUGGUCGUGCAUGAUGGUGAUGUAAUUAGGGUUGCAGAACUUAUAAGCUGUAAUCUUGGAGACAUUGUGCAUGUUUGUAAUGAAGGGUUUGCAGUUUCCUGAUGCUA